CAUCAAAACUGUGACUACACUCGUAGAAGCUUAUGUGCCGUUAUCUUCGGACAGGGGUUCGACUCCCCUCGGCUCCAUAU
RNAcentral lists this transfer-messenger RNA (80 nucleotides) under Paenibacillus odorifer. RNAcentral describes it as "partial transfer-messenger RNA". It matches the Rfam family "transfer-messenger RNA", at positions 293 to 374 of the family's 374-position model. From Rfam's summary of the family: Bacterial tmRNA, also known as 10Sa RNA or SsrA, is named for its dual tRNA and mRNA-like properties. The record is from RNAcentral. Lineage: Bacteria; Bacillati; Bacillota; Bacilli; Caryophanales; Paenibacillaceae.